GUCCCUGAGUAAGUCUCUGGCGUCCCAAAUUGCCUGUUUUUCUCGCAGGCUCUAUUCCGUUCGCUGGUUCACCACCUCAGGGGAACGAUGGCCACGGAGUCCACAGCCACUGCCGCCGUCGCCACGGAGCUGGUUUCUGCCGACAAAAUUGAAGAUGUUCCUGCUCCUUCUACAUCUGCAGAUAAAGUAGAGAGUCUGGAUGUGGAUAGUGAAGCUAAGAAACUAUUGGGUUUAGGACAGAAACAUCUGGUGAUGGGGGAUAUUCCAGCAGCUGUCAAUGCAUUCCAGGAAGCAGCUAGUCUUUUAGGUAAGAAGUAUGGAGAGACAGCUAAUGAGUGUGCAUGUGGAAGAGGAAGAAGGAGAAAAAACAGAAGAUGAAUCUCUGGUAGAAAAUAAUGAUAACAUAGAUGAGGAAGCAAGGGAAGAGUUGAGAGAACAGGUUUAUGACGCCAUGGGAGAAAAAGAAGAAGCCAAAAAAACAGAAGACAAGUCUUUGGCAAAGCCUGAAACUGAUAAAGAACAGGACAGUGAAAUGGAGAAGGGUGGAAGAGAAGAUAUGGAUAUAAGUGAAUCUGCAGAGGAGCCACAGGAAAAAGUUGACUUGACUCUAGAUUGGUUAACUGAAACCUCUGAAGAGGCAAACGGAGGAGCAGCACCAGAAGGACCGAAUGAAGCUGAGGUCACUUCUGGGAAGCCAGAACAGGAAGUACCAGAUGCUGAGGAAGAAAAAUCAGUUUCUGGAACUGAUGUCCAA
Molecule: small RNA, 754 nt
Filed under: Pongo abelii (Sumatran orangutan)
Lineage: Eukaryota; Metazoa; Chordata; Mammalia; Primates; Hominidae
Description: processed transcript
Source: RNAcentral